CCGGCCUCCCCGCGGACCAGGGGGACGCGGUCGCCAGCCGGUUGGGUGAUUAACUCACCGUUUGUCUCUUGGAAAGUGUUCCAGGUGGAUCAGGAACACCCACCCGCCCGCCGCUCCGCGCCGCGCCGCCUCCGGGAGACCGGAUCGAGCGUCACAUGGCGCGCGGGCCGAGCCGGCCUUUGUGCAGCGCGGCCGCCCCGCCGCCCCGGGGAGGCGGCGGCUAUUGUUUCCCGCGGGGGUGGGAGGUGCUCGGACUCGGGGUCCACGCCAGCCCCCUACCCAGUGUGUCCCCAGGUUCGAGGAUGGGUGGGGGCCUCCUUUGUGUGUUUUCUGCCGGCGGCGGAGAUGGCAUCGUUGCUGCCCCAAGAGUUAUUCUUCUUCCAUGAAAAUGACCCAGACUGGAUAUAGGAACCAGUCAAGAUAUUUUGCCACAAGACCUGGGACAAGAAGACUUCCAUUAUAUCUCCCACCAUGCUGAUCUCCUGGGGACCCUUCACCUGUUUCUGCUACUGCAAAUGACUGGACAUGCAUUUAUUUACCUUGGUUCUUCCUGCAUGUGUGGAAACCUUUUGUUCACUGUGCUUCAGGCUGGACCGGGCCUGAAAGUGGGUCUUUGAAUUGUCUUUGUACUUUCCUAACUUGCCAAGUUCUGAAAGAAGGAACAGAGUAAGGCCAAGAGUUGCCAGAUGAAGAGGACCUUCCUGGAUCUAACUGGGAUUAACCCAUUCUUGACUUCAGGAGGAAGUUUCAACUAAUUCUCAGGAUAAAGUCAAAACAGGCCUGUGACUGUCCCUUGAAUAUUCAUGGUGUAAACAAGCUUCUGGCUCCCCCAGGUCAAGCAGAGAAACACUUUUUAUUAGAAUGUUGGGUUUCUUCUUUGUUAUUCAAACAUACACCCACACACAUCCUCUUCACCCUCCCUAAUGAAAAACCUCAACAGAUGGGGAGCCUAGGCUCCCAAGCCUGCUGGCUGAGAAGAUCACUUCACUCAGGGUCAGUUGGCUGGUACAGAAUGGGGGGAGGGAGAAGGGACGAGUAGCUAGUAUAGUUAAUCACUAUUUUUUAAUACUCCUUACAGAUAGAAAUUCAAAAAUUCCUUUUCAGCAAGGUUAGCAGCCUCCGGGGCCUGGGAAACUAAUUUGGCUGAUGUGUCUCUGAUAGGGACUAGGCUUGGGUUGCUCCAAGGGGAAAGCACUUGCUCUAUAUUCUCUCCCCCUCUUAUCUGAACGCCUGUACAAAGAAAUGGUACAAAUGGAUGGUUAACUUAAUGAUUCCAUCAGAGGCGGAUUCUUCUCUGUCAGGUCGCUGGGUAAGGCUGAGGUCUGAAAGCCAGGAGGUAGAAUGUGUAGUCGCCCUUUCUUGCCACCUUUCCAGGGGCCAGGACUACUCUUCAGGCCUUUCCUCGGCCACUUCCCCACCCCCCUGGCUAGCGCAGUUGGGUCUUCUGACUCCACUCCAUGCUGGGUCCUGAGUUUCUCCUCGUAGCCAGGGCAGGCUCUCCCUCGGCCGAAAUCUUUUCCCACCCCACCUCCCAUUUUGCAGCUGGCCAUUCCAGCUACCUCACCUCAGCGCUGCUUUAAUUCACGUUUGACUGUCUCGACGGAACAACCAGGGGCUCCCGAAUGACCGCCACCCCCCAUCCGUGGGCCUGGGCUUGAGGCCCCGAGCCCUUUCUUCAGGUCCCAGGAGAUUCCCCCACAAACUCCCUGAUCCCACCUCCCUCAAAGCGGUCUGUGUAGGAAAAAGGCAGAGCUGGCCACGGCCACAGCCAGAGAGCCAUUUCCUCCCCUUGCGCAGGCGAGGUAAAGCCUCCUCGAGCCCAAAGCCCGGAGAGAGGCCGGCCCCUCACCACCUGCCGGUGUCGGCCCCCGCGCCGCCUUUGUGCGGCCUCCCCGCCGCGGGGCCCGUGGGAAGCCGCGCGCACAAUGGCGCCGCCGCUCCCGGAAGACCCGCUGCUCCGGGCGCCCUGGACCCAGCGCCCGGUAGCGAGGGGCCAGCAGCCUCGAGGCCGUGGUGAGCUCCCCACGGCCCCCCGCGCGCCGCUCCCGGGAAGAAGCCUCGGUCUGGGAUGGCGGUUUCCUUCCGCUGCAAAUUUCCCUCUUCCCGCUGCAGUCCUCUCCGGGAGAAGGAGAGGCCUGGACCCGGAGCGCCAGGCCGGGCCCAGGGCUCCCCUCCCCCACUCUUCUUUCUCUGCUGUUCCGAGACCCGGGAGGGAGGAGGCGGGCGCCUUCGCCGAUAGAGCAGCUAUUGUGACCUUCCCUCGCAGAGCGGGAAGCCAGCCGGGUGUGUACCGCCGGCGGUGGCGGGGGAGGAGGCGACUGUGUGCAAACUUCGGGGUGCGGAGGGGGUGGCACUGGGAAAUAAAGGUUUGCAACCUCGGGCAUUGGAGCCCUUCA
Long non-coding RNA from Balaenoptera acutorostrata (minke whale), 2396 nucleotides. RefSeq lists it as uncharacterized. The transcript is spliced from 3 exons. NCBI's taxonomy places the organism in Eukaryota, Metazoa, Chordata, Mammalia, Artiodactyla, Balaenopteridae. The record is from RefSeq and is a predicted model, not a curated record.